CACCUCCAGUCUCCCCCGUUCAAAAAAGGACGCCAUUUGAACGUGCAUAUUACUGCACAAAAAUAUGCAAAAGCUUUAUGUGGGCCUCAACGUUCAUUGAGGGUAUUUUUCUAAAGCACGAAUAAGUUAUCUGAUGAUAUUUAUGCUUCAAAGACGUGAAAAACGAGCUGAGUUCGUUUAAAAUUGUUGGCUGACGUCCUGCUGCGAGUGAAGUAAGCAAGCAGAGACAGGAGAGAAGAGGCCUGAAGCUAAAUGACUACAAGUGCAAAGGGACAUUUUACCACUUGGAUAUUAUACAGUUUCCAUCCAUGGAGGAAGGAGGAGUAGACCCCAUUCAACUAAUAAAAGUGGUGUAGAAAUGACGGAUUGACUGAGUGUCUGUCUCUCCGUGGGAAAUGAGCCUGCUAAUGUGGCGAACUGGGCUUGUUCCAUAUUCAUCUGCAGGCCUGUGAAUCACUGUGCGACUACAGAGGCUGCCAUGUGCACGGAGGCACAUCUGCUUCCCUUCCAAAAGUCAAACGGAGCGCAAAAUGAGCGCAUCGAUCUUCAUACACCCUGCGCACCACAAAGUGAUAUUGAGAGGGGGACUGAUAUGGAGAUGGACAUUGAUUUGGAAUAAGAAAAAAAAUUAUAGAGGAAAGAUGCGUCCUAGUUCUUGAGGAAAGUCUCAGAGGAGAGGAGGGGAGUGAAAGUGAAAAUCAACUUUUGCUGAUGUUUUGACACUACCUAAUCCUUGGAAUUCCCUCCUCAGCCAAGGGGAGGGGUUCUCAAACUUUGCCAUGCCUAAGACCCUGAUUUAAUUCUUAAUUUCUGUCCUAAUUCUUAUUACAUCUGAAUAAUCUUA
Molecule: long non-coding RNA, 844 nt
Organism: Notolabrus celidotus (New Zealand spotty)
Lineage: Eukaryota; Metazoa; Chordata; Actinopteri; Labriformes; Labridae
Exons: 3
Source: RefSeq, a predicted model, not a curated record